UUGUGGAGGAGGACGCCGAAGGUGGGGCUAAUGACUGGGGUGAAGUCGUAACAAGGUAGCCGUACCGGAAGGUGCGGCUGGAUCACCUCCUAACAGGGAGACAACAAAAUGUUUAAUAUUAUUAUUUUGUCACCUUAGGUCGAUCGGUAUCUCACGUUUUUUAAUUUAUUAAGAAUUUCAUUUCCUAAGUUUUUCUAGGUCACACCCAUUAUUUUUCCUGGGCCAUUAGCUCAGGUGGUUAGAGCGCACCCCUGAUAAGGGUGAGGUCCCUGGUUCAAGUCCAGGAUGGCCCAUAUCUCUAUGUUGGGGGUAUAGCUCAGUUGGUAGAGCGCCUGCUUUGCAAGCAGGAUGUCAGCGGUUCGAGUCCGCUUACCUCCACUGAUUACCACCUCUUCCAUAACCGGUAGAAAGGAAAUGUUUUGAGUUGUGAUCAAAUUCUGAAAGAAUCUAGCUUCCUAAUGAAAUCAUUAAGAUGCUGGACUCAUUGAAUUAAUUUCAUUGUUUUCAGAGAACCUUGACAACUGCAUAGAUUAUUUUUAAAGACAAUAAGCAUCUUUAAUGAUGCAGAUUUAUUAUUUUUGCGAAUGCAUUAAUAACAAUUCUAUUAAGCUGAUGCUUCAAUUUUGAAGUUAUUGGUCAAGCUACAA
RNAcentral lists this unclassified non-coding RNA (647 nucleotides) under uncultured Prochlorococcus sp. RNAcentral's name for it is "partial 16S-23S ribosomal RNA intergenic spacer; may also contain 16S ribosomal RNA and 23S ribosomal RNA". The stretch from base 306 to 378 matches the Rfam family "tRNA". Lineage: Bacteria; Bacillati; Cyanobacteriota; Cyanophyceae; Synechococcales; Prochlorococcaceae. The record is from RNAcentral.